GACGAACGCUGGCGGCGUGCCUAAUACAUGCAAGUAGAACGCAGUUGCGAACGGGUGAGUAACGCGUAGGUAACUGCCUCAUAGCGGGGGAUAACUAUUGGAAACGAUAGCUAAUACCGCAUACUGUGAGAUGGACCUGCGUUUUAUUGGCUAGUUGGUGAGGUAAAGGCUCAACAAGGCGACGAGACAUACCCGAACCGAGAGGGGUAUCGGCCAAACUGGGACUGAGGAAAGGCCCAGACUCCCACGGGAAGCAACAGUAGGGAAUCUUCGGCAAUGGACGGAAGUCUGACCGAGCAACGCCGCGUGAGUGAAAGAGGUUUUCGGGUCGGAAAGCUCUGUUGGUAGAGGAGCGGUAACUAACCAGAAAGGGACGGCUAACUACGUGCCAGCAGCCGCGGUAAUUC
This 407-nucleotide ribosomal RNA is filed under the name uncultured bacterium. Its description in RNAcentral is "partial 16S ribosomal RNA". It matches the Rfam family "Bacterial small subunit ribosomal RNA", at positions 28 to 526 of the family's 1533-position model. The record is from RNAcentral.